AUGGAGGAGGGGUUGAGGUUUCGCGGCUCGGGAGAAGGGAGCUUCCGGGGAGUAGGUGAUUUGGCGCCCACCAGAGGCAAAGCAGGCAUCGAGGCAGGGGUGACGUGGGAGGAAGCAGGGGUGCCGGACAUGAACAACAGCUGCCGGAGGCUGGGAGCUCCGCGGCGGCGGUCAUGGCCCGCGGGCGUGACAGCAAGGCAAGGGAGCUCGGGGCGGUUGCGUGCCUUCAGGAGCGAAGCAUGGGUGCGGGCGCGCAUGGAGAGGCUCCAGGUCGAGCUCCUGGUGCUCGACAAAGACGACGCGAAGGAAGAGGAGCCCGGCAAGGGAGCUAACGGAGGGGGAACGAAGGAGGCCGCAGAGAGCUUGGGGAGGGAGCGGGGCGACGACGAUGGUGCUCCACUCCUCCUGGUGCUCCUCCGACGAGGAGAGUUGGCGGCGGGGACGAGGUGGCGUAGGGUCGGGCGCGAUGCCCUGGCGGCGGCGCUAGGAGGAGGAUGA
Molecule: ribosomal RNA, 498 nt
Filed under: Triticum aestivum (bread wheat)
Lineage: Eukaryota; Viridiplantae; Streptophyta; Magnoliopsida; Poales; Poaceae
Description: partial small subunit ribosomal RNA
Source: RNAcentral